This 332-nucleotide ribosomal RNA is filed under the name uncultured bacterium. RNAcentral's name for it is "partial 16S ribosomal RNA". It matches the Rfam family "Bacterial small subunit ribosomal RNA", at positions 338 to 667 of the family's 1533-position model. The record is from RNAcentral.
CCUACGGGAGGCAGCAGUGAGGAAUAUUGGUCAAUGGGCGGAAGCCUGAACCAGCCAAGUAGCGUGCAGGAUGACGGCCCUACGGGUUGUACACUGCUUUUAUACGGGAAUAACGCGCCUUACGUGUAGGGCUUUGCAUGUACCGUAUGAAUAAGGACCGGCUAAUUCCGUGCCAGCAGCCGCGGUAAUACGGAAGGUCCGGGCGUUAUCCGGAUUUUUUGGGUUUAAAUGGAGCGUAGGCCGCAUGCCAAGCGUGCUGUGAAAUGUACGGGCUCAACCCGGGCCUUGCAGCGCGAACUGGAGUGCUUGAGUCCGCGGAAAGCAGGCGGAAU